UACGGAGGGUGCAAGCGUUAAUCGGAAUUACUGGGCGUAAAGCGCGCGUAGGCGGUUUUUUAAGUCGGAUGUGAAAGCCCCGGGCUCAACCUGGGAACUGCAUCNGAUACUGGAAGACUAGAAUGCGGGAGAGGGAGGUAGAAUUCCAUGUGUAGCAGUGAANUGCGUAGAUAUAUGGAGGAAUACCAGUGGCGAAGGCGGCCUCCUGGCUCGACAUUGACGCUGAGGUGCGAAAGCGUGGGGAGCAAACUGC
This 253-nucleotide ribosomal RNA is filed under the name uncultured bacterium. RNAcentral describes it as "partial 16S ribosomal RNA". It matches the Rfam family "Bacterial small subunit ribosomal RNA", at positions 524 to 776 of the family's 1533-position model. The record is from RNAcentral.